This is a long non-coding RNA of Oreochromis aureus, 913 nucleotides long. Lineage: Eukaryota; Metazoa; Chordata; Actinopteri; Cichliformes; Cichlidae. The record is from Ensembl.
CUGACGGACAGCCGUGGGGAAAUGAUGAGACCUCACCUGUCACUGAUCAGCAGACUGCUGCACAGGCUACAGCAUGAAGAGGUGUUUUUAUAUUACAGAUGCGGCCACUCUGCCAGACGAUCCUCAGAAACAAUCUCUGGAUGUGGGAAUAACCAGGGAUGACAGACGAAAGGAAAGAGAAAGAGUCAAACGACAGUCCUGUGCCUUAAGGCCUGGUGGAUGUUCCAUCCUCGGCCUACGGCCCAUGCCUAAUAUUCCUGGUUAUAAGAACGGUGAAACAACAUCAAAACCUCUCCAGGCCGUUCUGAAGAAAAACUGAAAUGUUGUUUUCGAUAUACAGGACAAAAAAAGUGAUCUGAAGAAAAGCCAGACGAAACACCGGAGAGCUGAAAACUGAGACCUUUACCGACUACAUCUUUUCUCUGAGAGACAUUUCUUUCCUUGUUAAAAGAAAUGUUUUUCAUUGUUUCCAUGUACUGUUAUGAAGGCAAUAACCAGUGAAGCUUUGCAUGAUUUAAGAAAUCCCUAUAUUCUUCACUGAUAUGUAUACUUUAGCUCCCUGUAUCUGCAUUAAAAAAUCAAUAAUCUUCAGUAUGCAUUUGCACUUAUCACACCUGACUGAAGGAAAGCAUUAAUCAUUCAAACUUGCAGAAAGGUUUUAGGGCGUUACUCAUGUUCUUCAAUGAAAUAAUACGCUUUCUUCAAGUGCUGCUGAUUUCACAACAGUUCACUUUGUGUAUUCUGUGCUGCAAAAUAAAGCUGACUGGAGUAGAAAUUUUCAUCUUUGUGCAUCAUCUUUAACGGUGAAUAGAAAGCCAUAAAGCAUUAAACUUAAAAAAGCUGUCAUCGUGCAGCGCUCAGCUGGGUCAGUAAAUCCUGUAGAGUUCUGCAUAGUUUUAAAAGCAAAGCCGUG